Molecule: microRNA precursor, 270 nt
Filed under: Gossypium raimondii (Peruvian cotton)
Lineage: Eukaryota; Viridiplantae; Streptophyta; Magnoliopsida; Malvales; Malvaceae
Description: miR8650 stem-loop (gra-MIR8650)
Source: miRBase by way of RNAcentral
UGGUAGGAGGUAGAUUGCAUGUUGUCCAUUUUAUUUAGAAAAUAGAUAAAUUAGUUCUUUUAGGUUAAAUUAAAGAAUAAAUCAGCAUUUUCUGUUAAAAAUCAUAUCCAUUUUUGCUAUUCAAAAAUGGUGUAACUAAUAGAACAACCAGAGUACAAGUGUCAUGUGUACUUUAUGCUGACAUAUAAAAAUCAAUUAUUAACAGAAGAAAUGGAUGAAAAUUUACUCAUUUUUUUAGUGGAAGGACAAAAUGCAAUCUGACCCUUAAUA